This is a long non-coding RNA of Oreochromis aureus, 606 nucleotides long. The record is from Ensembl. Lineage: Eukaryota; Metazoa; Chordata; Actinopteri; Cichliformes; Cichlidae.
AUUUGGACGGCUACACCAUGUUCAAACGCAACAGACAUGUGUCCUACACAAACUUUCCUCACAUGGCCAGCAGAAGUGGUGGUGGAGUUGUUGUGUAUUUGAGGAAUCAUUUUCAGGUUCAGGUAAAACAGUAUCUGCAUAAUGUCACUGAUCUUGAGUUCUUAGUGUUAAAGGUUCAGGCUCCAUUCCCUGCGCUCAUUGCGGUUGUGUACAGACCUCCUGACUACAGUUUGACACCAUUCAUGCAAAACCUGCCAAUCAUGAAGUCGUCUGAUGUAUUUUUUUCAGACAGGGCACACACAGUCCUGUUUCCUUUGUGGGAAAACCUUCAAACUUCACCAUCCUCAGCUGAAACAACAACAUCUUAACACCAUCUUCAUGAACUGUUGAGCCAAACCUGAUCCAUCAGUGCUGGACUGCACAGAUAACUACAUGCCACAAGGAGACUGCUGUGUUAUGAACUGCCAUACCAGUGUGUCUUCAAUGGAGAAGAUGACACACCCAUCACCUGACCUCCUGCCUGAUCUGGAGACCAUCAUCAUGCUGCCACACUACACACCUCUGAGACCCUCAAUGAUGACUGAUACUGAGGAAACUGUAUUUCCU